AUCAUUACCGAGUUCGUGCCCUUCGGGGUAGACCUCCCACCCUGUGUGUAUCUGUACGCUGUUGCUUUGGCGGGCCCGCCGUUCGCGGCUACCGGCUCAGGCUGGUACGUGCCCGCCAGAGGACCCCACAACCCUGAAUAUUAGUGUCGUCCGAGUCCUAUAAUAAUCGUUAAAACUUUCAACAACGGAUCUCUUGGUUCUGGCAUCGAUGAAGAACGCAGCGAAAUGCGAUAAGUAAUGUGAAUUGCAGAAUUCAGUGAAUCAUCGAAUCUUUGAACGCACAUUGCGCCCCCUGGCAUUCCGGGGGGCAUGCCUGUUCGAGCGUCAUUGCACCCCUCACGCUCCGCGUGGUGUUGGGCCCUUGCGGGCGACCGCAGGCCCUAAAGCAAGUGGCGGCGCCCCAACUUUUACCAGUUUGACCUCGGAUCAGGUAGGGAUACCCGCUGAACUUAAGCAUAUCAAUAAGCGGAGGAAAAGAAACCAACAGGGAUUGCCUCAGUAACGGCGAGUGAAGCGGCAAGAGCUCAAAUUUGAAAUCUGGCCCUUUCAGGGUCCGAGUUGUAAUUUGUAGAAGAUGCUUCGGGCGUGGUGCCGGUCUAAGUCCCUUGGAACAGGGCGUCACAGAGGGUGAGAAUCCCGUAUGUGACUGGCCACCUACGCCCGUGUGAAGCUCUUUCGACGAGUCGAGUUGUUUGGGAAUGCAGCUCUAAAUGGGUGGUAAAUUUCAUCUAAAGCUAAAUACCGGCCAGAGACCGAUAGCGCACAAGUAGAGUGAUCGAAAGAUGAAAAGCACUUUGGAAAGAGGGUUAAACAGUACGUGAAAUUGUUGAAAGGGAAGCGCUUGCAAUCAGACUUGCGCCUGGGUGAUCAUCCGGGGUUCUCCCCGGGGCACUCGCUCAGGCGCAGGCCAGCAUCGGCUUCGGUGGUGGGAUAAAGGCCCAGGGAACGUAGCCCCUCUCGGGGGGUGUUAUAGCCCUGGGUGCAAUGCCGCCUACCGGGGCCGAGGACCGCGCUCG
RNAcentral lists this ribosomal RNA (1016 nucleotides) under Leotiomycetes sp. 11243. Its description in RNAcentral is "eukaryotic LSU rRNA". The stretch from base 417 to 1016 matches the Rfam family "Eukaryotic large subunit ribosomal RNA", at positions 1 to 603 of the family's 3401-position model. The record is from RNAcentral. Lineage: Eukaryota; Fungi; Ascomycota; Leotiomycetes.